Molecule: ribosomal RNA, 253 nt
Filed under: uncultured bacterium
Lineage: Bacteria
Description: partial 16S ribosomal RNA
Rfam family: Bacterial small subunit ribosomal RNA
Source: RNAcentral
UACGUAGGAGACGAGCGUUGUCCGGAAUUACUGGGCGUAAAGCGCGUGUAGGCGGAUGAGCAAGUCUGCUGUGAAAGCUCCUGGCUUAACCGGGAGUGGUCGGUGGAAACUGCUCGUCUGGAGGACGGUAGAGGUAGGUAGAAUUCCCGGUGUAGUGGUGAAAUGCGUAGAGAUCGGGAGGAAUACCUGUGGCGAAGGCGGCCUACUGGGCCGGAUCUGACGCUGAGACGCGAAGGCGUGGGGAGCGAACGGG